CGUCAUGACGUGACGUUCAGGUGCUUCCUCCUCCUCCUCCUCCUCUUCCUCAGUGAGACGUGGGACCUGUCUGCUGUCUUCAGUGUUCAGAACUGUGCAGAGUUCACAUGGAUCCACCUGUGAGGAGAGAAAACAAAGCAGGUGACUGACGAGAGGAAAAACCCUGAAGACGAGCAGUCGAGACCGACAAGAGGAGCCUGAAGCUGCGGAGUGUUCAGAGUGAGUGCUGCAGUUUUUACUGGCUAUUUAUGUAAUAAACAUUUUUUCUUUAAAUA
This is a long non-coding RNA of Acanthopagrus latus (yellowfin seabream), 275 nucleotides long. RefSeq lists it as uncharacterized. The transcript is spliced from 2 exons. The record is from RefSeq and is a predicted model, not a curated record. NCBI's taxonomy places the organism in Eukaryota, Metazoa, Chordata, Actinopteri, Spariformes, Sparidae.